GCAUAUCAAUAAGCGGAGGAAAAGAAAAUAACAAUGAUUCCCUUAGUAACGGCGAGUGAAGGGGGAUAAGCUCAAAUUUUAAAUCUACCAGGUUAACCUGGUCGAGUUGUAAUUUGAAGAAGCGUUUUCCGCGUCCGGGUCGGCCCAAAUCCUUUGGGAUAAGGUAUCAUGGAGGGUGAGAAUCCCGUUCGGCUGACCUUAGGAUGCUUUACGAUACGCUCUCAAAGAGUCGAGUUGUUUGGGAUUGCAGCUCAAAAUGGGAGGUAAAUUUCUCCUAAGGCUAAAUACCGGCGAGAGACCGAUAGCGAACAAGUACCGUGAGGGAAAGAUGAAAAGAACUUUGAAAAGAGAGUUAAAUAGUACGUGAAAUUGUUGAAAGGGAAACGAUUGAAGUCAGUCGUACCGGCGGGAAAUCAGCUUUUCGAGUGGGGGUUCGCGGGUGCGUGGAGCUUCGGCCUUCGUCGCUUGUGACACCUUUUGCUUCUGGAGCGUACUUUUCCGUGUGGUAGGUCAACAUCGGUUUCGAUUGCCAUAAAAUGACCGGAGGAAUGUGGCUUCGAUCUUGUAUUGGAGUGUUAUAGCCUCUGGUAGAUGUGGUGGUUGGGAUCGAGGAUUGCAACGAAUACCCUUUGGGCUAUCCGCCUGACCUCUGAAAGUCGCUUGGGUACCGAAAGCUUGCUUACGGUCAUUCAAGUUGGCGGUCAAAAGGUUAGAACGUGAUUAAAUUCGUUAAGGAUGUUGACGUA
Molecule: ribosomal RNA, 746 nt
Filed under: uncultured Glomerales
Lineage: Eukaryota; Fungi; Glomeromycota; Glomeromycetes; Glomerales; Glomeraceae
Description: LSU rRNA
Rfam family: Eukaryotic large subunit ribosomal RNA
Source: RNAcentral